RNAcentral lists this ribosomal RNA (428 nucleotides) under uncultured bacterium. Its description in RNAcentral is "bacterial SSU rRNA". It matches the Rfam family "Bacterial small subunit ribosomal RNA", at positions 356 to 775 of the family's 1533-position model. The record is from RNAcentral.
UGGGAAUAUUGGGCAAUGGGCGAAAGCCUGACCCAGCGACGCCGCGUGGGUGAUGAAGGCCUUCGGGUUGUAAAGCCCUGUCAUGCGGAAAGAACGACCCUGAGACGCAUACUCUCAGGGAGUGACGGUACCGCAGGAGGAAGCACCGGCUAACUCCGUGCCAGCAGCCGCGGUAAUACGGAGGGUGCAAGCGUUGUUCGGAAUUAUUGGGCGUAAAGGGCGCGUAGGCGGUAAUGUAAGUCAGAUGUGAAAUACUCCGGCUCAACCAGAGAACAGCAUCUGAAACUGCAUAACUAGAGUACAGAAGAGGGAAACGGAAUGCCCGGUGUAGAGGUGAAAUUCGUAGAUAUCGGGAGGAACACCAGUGGCGAAGGCGGUUUCCUGGUCCGAUACUGACGCUGAGGCGCGAAAGCGUGGGGAGCAAACAG